CACAGAGGAAGUGAGAAUCAAUCGCUCCCAGGAAGGCAAGAUUCCAGAAUACGAGUGUGUCUAAAGAAAAGACCAUCUCUCAACAUCUGAACCAAAAAGCUGCAUUUACUACAGUACUUACUUAAGGGAGGUGGAGCUGGGCCUGUUAGGUGCAAUCCCUACACCAGCUGAGCCGGGAGAUCUGAACAUCAGGCAAUGAGUUUGCAAGAUGGUUUAACAACUAUGAACAUGUGGUGUCCUCACAGGAAUCCUGUGGGCUGAACAGCAGCCGCCCCUCCUUCCACCCAGCACAAAACUUGGUUUGCCCCGCUCACUCUAAAUCUGGGCCUUCAAUGAAUGUUCAGUGGAGUUCUUCUGUGGAAAAAAAUAAAUGGGAAAGGAAGGCUGGAGAGGCCUUUAUUAGCCUAAGGGGCAGUGGAGGGUAAAAGGGCUGUGACUCUUGGUUGGCUUCUUCUUUUUCUUUAUUGUUUUUUGUUUUGUUUUGUUUUGUUUUUUCUGGUAGCUUCUUUAUCUCAGUGUUUUUUCUUUUUCUUUUCUUUUUUUUUUGAGACAGGGUCUCACUCUGUCACCCAAACUGGAGUGCAGCAGUGCAAUCAUAACUUAGCGGGGCUCAAGCAAUCCUCCCACCUCAGCCUCCCUAGUGGCUGGGACUACAGGUGUGCACCACCACACCCGGCUAAUUUUUGUAUCUUAUUGUAGACACAGGUUUUCGCCACGUUGCCCAGGCUGGUCUCAAACUCCUGGGCUCAACUGAUCCCCUUGCCAGGGCUUCUCAAAGUGCUGGGAUCAUAGGCAUGAGCCGCCAUGCCUAACCCUUAUCUGAGUUUUUGUAACAGUUUGACCAACAAGCUUGUUGUUGGAAAGCUGUAAGAGUCCUGGAAAUUUCCCUGGGGCCUGAGGAAUCAAACACUGCUCUACAAGGGGAGGCUUUCUGUCCUGAGAGUUCAGGCUUUAGGGGCUGGCUGGAGGCCUCAGGCAGAGAUGAAGGCCCAGUUAUGAUUUCCUUCACUGGAGUCCAUCAUUAAUGAGCGCCUUGGCUGGGGGGAUGCCUGCUAAGAGGGCAUGGAGUACAGAUCCUCCACUGACACCCCCACACUCCUAGCAGCAAGCAGGACUUAGUGGCCCCACUUACUCCCUACAGGGUAGGAAAAGACGGCAGUGCCCUGGUGAGGAGCUGUAUAGGGGGUCCUUCAGGAUGCUUGCUGGGAGGGGUGGGGAGGGCACAGGACGUGCUGGGACCCCACUGGGAUCUAAGCCCCUCCCAGCUGAUUUAUUCUUAGGAUCUGUAAUGCUCGCCUGCAUGUGCCCCGAACUUCAGAAGGCCCAAGAAUCAACCCUGACAAAUGUCUUUUUGUCCUGUAUUCAGUAGAGAUAAGAUUAAAAAAAAAAAUUAGUAGAGGGCAAAAAACAGUGGUUUACUCUCUUUACUGGCAUUCAAGAAACUUCUUCGGUUUGAUAGGCUUUAAGCUUCUUCCCAGAUUCAAAAUGCUGUGAUUGGCACUAAAUGGAUCCCUAUCUCUGCCCAGGAAUUCCGGCUUCUGGCUGCAAAGCCUUUGGGGUCCUUGCAAUGGGGCAGGUAUAACUUCCCAUAUUCUCUUCCUCAAUCUUCCUUUCCUGCCCCUCCCUCUCUAUUUUUUUUUUUUUUUUUUUUUUUUUGAGACAAGGUCUCACACCGUAACCCAGGCUGAAGAGCAGUGGUGCAAUCAUGGCUCACUGCAGACUCAACCUCCUAGGCUCAAGCAAUCCUCCCACCUCAGCCUCCCGAGUAGCUGGGACCACAGGCACAUGCCACUACGUCCAGCUCAUUUUUGUAUUUGUUGCAGUGAUGGGGAUUUGCCAUGUUGCCCAGGCUGGCCUUGAACUUCUGGGCUCAAGCCAUCCUCUCACUUCAGCCUCUCAAAGUGCUGGGAUUGUAGGCUUGAGCCACUGUGCCCUGCCUGCCUUUCUGUUCUGAUGCAGGAAGCCCUGACUUUGGAGUCCUUCCCUGUGGAUCACCUCUGAUAAAUCUAGUCUCUUGUUCAUCUGCUCUUUUAUUUAUUAAAAAAACUUUUUAAAAAGACUAGUAAAGUGCAGUAGUGAGAAGGUGGGAAAGGGUAGAACAAGGAGCUCGAUCUGUAACUGACUGUGAACAAUCAGUUGAGAUAACUCACUACCUUUGGACCAGCCUCAUCUGCCCUUUUGAAUGGUUCCUCUCAGUUUUUUCAUCUGUAAAAUGUGAAUCGUGCGUGGCAGGAGGUGAGUGGGGAUUUGUAGUGGAGAAUUCUCAAGGUCUCUCCCAGCUCUGACACUUGGGGACUCAGGGAGUCUACCAAGGGCAAAGGCAUCAUCCUAAGUGCAGGUUCGUGUGUGGGGGUGUAUGAAACAGUUAAGAUGAAGUGCCCAUCCUCAAGGAGUUUGCAGUUGAGUAGCUCAGUGGCAUGCAUAAUAAAUCUCAGGUAGGCCCGGUGUGGUGGCUCAUGCCUGAAAUCCCAGCACUUUGGGAGGCUGAGGUGGGUGGAUCACGAGGUCAGGAGUUUGAGACCGGCCUGACCAACAUGGUGAAACCCUGUUGCUACUAAAAAUACAGAAAUUAGCUGGGCGUGGUGUGGGCGCCUGUAAUCCCAGCUACUUGGGAGGCAGAGGCAGAAUGGUUUGAACCCAGGAGGCAGAGGUUGCAGUGAGCCGAGAUCACGCCACUGCACUCCAGCCUGGGUGACAGGGCGAGACUCCAUCUCAAAAUAAAUAAAUAAAUAAAUAAAUAAAUAAAUAAAUAAAUAAAUAAAUAAAUCUCAGGUAGAUAUUCAGGAAGUGAGGCAUUUCAGAGUUCAUCAGAAUUCCAAGGAGGUAUAAGAUUCCUUCUGGAGGCAGAGGGGUUUGGUGAAGGGAAUAAAGUAGGGUUCCCAAGUUCCUUUCCAAGGCCAGUGGUGCAGAUGCUUUUGGCUUCCCAACCAAAGAAUCCCAGUUAUUGCCCAACUCUGACCCCGGCAGGCAAGUCUUCCCCUACCAGGCAACCACACUCACACUUUCUGAAUUGGUGCCUCAUUAAUUCUUUUUUUGCCUUCUUAAUCACACUGCUAAUAAUACUUAUUUUUAUUUUUAUUUUUAUUUUGAGACUGAGUCUCACUGUUGUCGGCCCCGGCUGGAGGGCAAUGGCGCAAUCUUGGCUCACUGCAACCUCUGCCUCCCAGGUUCCAGCGAUUCUCCUGCCUCAGCCUCGCAAGUAGCUGGGAUUACAGGCGCCUGCC
RNAcentral lists this long non-coding RNA (3224 nucleotides) under Homo sapiens (human). RNAcentral describes it as "HSALNT0359480". The record is from RNAcentral. Lineage: Eukaryota; Metazoa; Chordata; Mammalia; Primates; Hominidae.